CGACGGUGAGUACACGUAUCCAACCUGCCGUCUACUCUUGGACAGCCUUCUGAAAGGAAGAUUAAUACAAGAUGGCAUCAUGAGUUCACAUGUUCACAUGAUUAAAGGUAUUCCGGUAGACGAUGGGGAUGCGUUCCAUUAGAUAGUAGGCGGGGUAACGGCCCACCUAGUCUUCGAUGGAUAGGGGUUCUGAGAGGAAGGUCCCCCACAUUGGAACUGAGACACGGUCCAA
Molecule: ribosomal RNA, 232 nt
Filed under: uncultured bacterium
Lineage: Bacteria
Description: partial 16S ribosomal RNA
Rfam family: Bacterial small subunit ribosomal RNA
Source: RNAcentral